This 389-nucleotide long non-coding RNA is filed under the name Callithrix jacchus (white-tufted-ear marmoset). Its description in RNAcentral is "lncRNA (ENSCJAG00000064323.2)". Lineage: Eukaryota; Metazoa; Chordata; Mammalia; Primates; Cebidae. The record is from RNAcentral.
AGAUUGUAUGUAAAGUUCCAGAGUCUUAUUAGUUUACAAUUUUUCUUUCCUUUUCUAGACACACUGUGAAAGAACUCAGCUUGGGCAGGGGCCUCUGCAUGGCAAACUUCAGCAGCAUGUGGGUCUUCUACAUAGCUGUUCAACUCCAACUCCAUUCCAGAGCCAGCCAUUCUGAAGAUCACGGUUGAACAAAAAAGCCUCAUAUACAAAUCCCCAAUUCACAUAGGAACUGGGAAUGCGAGUAACGUCUUCACUUCUGUGAGCCUGUUAUUAGGAACAGACGCCACGCCUGGAUCCACGUCUUUGAUGUGUCCACUGAAGAGCUGCAACCAGGUCAUAAAAUAGGUCAAUUUUUAAAAUAUAUGUCUUAUAGGUCAGAUGUAUUUUAA